CUAAAAUAGUCUUGGCUAGGGCUUUAUGACCUUGGUCAUUAGUGGUCGUGUAGUCUGUAUGUCUUGGCUGCCAACAUUCACAAAACACAAUUCACAAGCACACACUUCAAGUCUUCAAUUGCAUCCUCGCUGCAGGCUUGCAGCCUACUUGAUUCAAUCGUAAAUCGUUCUUCGCUUCUCGCAAUCUCGCUACAUCGCUCCAGCCUCCAGCUUAACUCGUUCUUACUUCAAUCGCACACUUCAAUCGACGACGUGUUCCAUUCAGUGUCCAAUUGUCCAUAGUGAACACCGACGACUCGUUUCUUUGGAUCCGACAUACCUGCGACGACUUCUCCGACUCCACAACGAGUCAGCGACAACUUCUCCGGCUCCACAGGUCCGAUUCUCUAUUUCCUUUCGCUAUGCUGAUUAACGAUUCCUUAUUACCUAUGCUGAUUAACGAUUCCUUCUUUCCUUUCGCUAUGAGAUGCUUUCAUUUACUCACUGAUGACACGAUAUUAGGAGCAAGGUUGUCCCCUCUCUUGAUUUUUAAUAAAAAUUGUUUGUUGUUGAUUAGUUAGCUUUCCCAAUUUUUGCUGUUGAUUAGUUACCUUUCCCAAUUUUUGUUUUUUACAUUAUCUGAUUACUUACUGUUUCUUUGAAAUUUUAGGCUAGCCAAUAAUGGAACAACAACAGCGCAUAGAUUUGGAUCGUGAAAGUGAUGUUGAGCAACAGAACACUCAAUCGGUUGGGGACAAAAGAACAGCAAACGUUUGGCAUAAAUAUGUUGAUAUUAGAGAUCCAAAGACUAACAAAAUUGUAAAAGCCCAAUGUAAAUUUUGCUCUAGAGUGUUGAACGUUGUUACAAAAAAUGGUACAUCAUCUAUGGCUAAACAUCUUGUUACAUGUCCAAAUAACCCCGAAAAUAUUAGAUAAAAAACAAAAGAAAAUUAGCAUUUUUAAAACAAGUCAAAGUGAUGCUACCACUGUUUCAAAUUGGGAAUUUAAUCAAAAUUCCAUUAGGCAAGCUUUAGCUAAAAUGAUUGUCAUUGACGAGGAACCAUUUUCUUACGUGGAACGUGAUAAAUGUAUGUUAAUUUCAUUAAAGAAACUUUCUUUCUAAUUUCAAAAUUUCUAAAUUAAAUCCCAAAUAUUUCCAUUAUUUAUUUAUUUAACAUUUGUUUAAAUUUAAAAGAGAAAUGAGCACUUCAAUUUCAUUAAUUCAAUAUUUUUCUCACUUCCCUUAUAAAUACAAACUCCUAAAUGUUUAGACCUUUAUAUUUAACUUUUUUUAAAUAACUUUUUUUGCAUGGUAUAUAUUUUUGUUGGGCAUAUUCACAUGCAAAUAUACCAGCUAGGCCUAUGUGCAAUUACUAUGAUAUGUGUUACUAUGUGUGUUGAGACUUGGGGUAGUCUCCAGGAUUCUUGAUAAUCCUUAGGGUGUGUUGUUUGCCCAUUAAGACUUUGGGUAGUCUCCAUGGUUGUUGAUAACCCAUAAAUUUAUUUGUUUUGUGUUGUAUGUGAUAUUUUGGGGAACUCACUAAGCUUAGUGCUUACAGUAGUUGAUUAAAUGUGUUUCAGGUACUUCUGAUGAUCGUGGGAAGGCGAAUGCUUGAUUGUACACAUUCUCCUGCAGUUUCUGACUCCGGAUAUUUUGGGACACUUUAAUAUUUUUACGAUGAUUUGUAUUUGAUACUUGAGAUUUUCUUGAGAUAGGUUUUAUAAACAAUGUUUUUAGUUAAUUAAAAAUGAAAAUUUUGUUUUGAAAAUUUAGAUGUUACAAAUUGG
This 1767-nucleotide long non-coding RNA is filed under the name Lactuca sativa (garden lettuce). Its description in RNAcentral is "long non-coding RNA (LSAT_LNC004537)". Lineage: Eukaryota; Viridiplantae; Streptophyta; Magnoliopsida; Asterales; Asteraceae. The record is from RNAcentral.